GGAGAGAUGGGUGAGUGGCUGAAACCACCGGUUUGCUAAACCGACAUACGGGAAUACUGUAUCGAGGGUUCGAAUCCCUCUCUCUCCG
Molecule: transfer RNA, 88 nt
Filed under: Bacteroidia bacterium
Lineage: Bacteria; Pseudomonadati; Bacteroidota; Bacteroidia
Description: tRNA-Ser
Rfam family: tRNA
About the family: Transfer RNA (tRNA) molecules are approximately 80 nucleotides in length. Their secondary structure includes four short double-helical elements and three loops (D, anti-codon, and T loops). Further hydrogen bonds mediate the characteristic L-shaped molecular structure. tRNAs have two regions of fundamental functional importance: the anti-codon, which is responsible for specific mRNA codon recognition, and the 3' end, to which the tRNAs corresponding amino acid is attached (by aminoacyl-tRNA synthetases). tRNAs cope with the degeneracy of the genetic code in two manners: having more than one tRNA (with a specific anti-codon) for a particular amino acid; and 'wobble' base-pairing, i.e. permitting non-standard base-pairing at the 3rd anti-codon position.
Source: RNAcentral